CUUGCUUAAAUUAAAUGUUUUCAGUUACGUAUGAGCAACCUGAAGGUUCAGGCACGCAUAAAGGGAAAGAAAAGCUGUUCGAAUGAGAAUUAGUAUGAGUUAAUGGUUAUAGUUGGUAAGACAAUGGAAUCUAUUGUUAGGUAUUGUAAGGAAUGUAUUUGAAGGUCUCGUACCUGGGAAGUAAACUCUGAUGUAUGUAAAUUAAGUUUGAAUGUAACAUUUCUAUUGUAUGAUUCAGCUUAUAGAAAUGGUAUCGUGAAG
RNAcentral lists this long non-coding RNA (261 nucleotides) under Panax ginseng (ginseng). Its description in RNAcentral is "long non-coding RNA (PGIN_LNC015474)". The record is from RNAcentral. Lineage: Eukaryota; Viridiplantae; Streptophyta; Magnoliopsida; Apiales; Araliaceae.